RNAcentral lists this long non-coding RNA (261 nucleotides) under Lathyrus oleraceus (garden pea). RNAcentral's name for it is "Pisum sativum (pea) long non-coding RNA (PSAT_LNC009140)". Lineage: Eukaryota; Viridiplantae; Streptophyta; Magnoliopsida; Fabales; Fabaceae. The record is from RNAcentral.
UUCCCUUUAUCCAAAUGCAAUGAAAUUUGGUGUGUUGCUCAUUGAAUGUGUUCUGUUUAAGCAUGAGUUUUCCUGGAAUUUAUUGAGCCAUUGUGGUAUUGAUAUGCUUGUGUUCAUUCUGUUUACAUCAUUGAGUUCUCAACUUGACUAGUUUGACAUGAUUUGCUUAUGAAAUGCAAUUGGUGAAUGCUUUUGAUAUGAGACCAAUUAGACUUUGUUCUUAUUUGAUUAAUCUUGGUUUUGAUCAACUUUCAUGUUCUG